CUAGCAUAUCAUAGCGGAGGAAAAGAAACCAACAGGGAUUGCCCCAGUAAACGGCGAGUGAAGCGGCGAGAGCUCAAAUUUGAAAUCUGGCCUCCCCCGGGGGCCCGAGUUGUAAUUUGCAGAGGAUGCUUCGGGUGCGGCCGCCGUCUAAGUUCCUUGGAACAGGACGUCAGAGAGGGUGAGAAUCCCGUCUUGGGCGGGCGGUCCGCGCCCGUGUGAAGCUCCUUCGACGAGUCGAGUUGUUUGGGAAUGCAGCUCUAAGCGGGUGGUAAAUUUCAUCUAAAGCUAAAUAUUGGCCGGAGACCGAUAGCGCACAAGUAGAGUGAUCGAAAGGUUAAAAGCACCUUGAAAAGGGAGUUAAACAGCACGUGAAAUUGUUGAAAGGGAAGCGCUUGCGGCCAGACUCGGGGGCGGGGUUCAGCGGGUGCUCGUCGCCCGUGUAUUCCUCGUCUCCCGGGCCAGCAUCAGUUUCGACGGCCGGUCAAAGGCCCCCGGAAUGUGUCGUCUCUCGGGACGUCUUAUAGCCGGGGGUGCAAUGCGGCCCGUCGGGACUGAGGAACGCGCUCCGGCUCGGAUGCUGGCGUAAUGGCCGUAAGCGGCCCGUCUUGAAACACGGACCAAGGAGUCUAACAUCCACGCGAGUGUUCGGGUGUCAAACCCGUGCGCGCAGUGAAAGCGAACGGAGGUGGGAGCCUUAGGGCGCACCAUCGACCGAUCCUGAAGUCUUCGGAUGGAUUUGAGUAGGAGCGUGGCCGUUGGGACCCGAAAGAUGGUGAACUAUGCCUGAAUAGGGUGAAGCCAGAGGAAACUCUGGUGGAGGCUCGCAGCGGUUCUGACGUGCAAAUCGAUCGUCAAAUUUGGGCAUAGGGGCGAAAGACUAAUCGAACCAUCUAGUAGCUGGUCUGCA
RNAcentral lists this ribosomal RNA (907 nucleotides) under Trichophyton mentagrophytes. RNAcentral describes it as "LSU rRNA". It matches the Rfam family "Eukaryotic large subunit ribosomal RNA", at positions 34 to 960 of the family's 3401-position model. Lineage: Eukaryota; Fungi; Ascomycota; Eurotiomycetes; Onygenales; Arthrodermataceae. The record is from RNAcentral.